AUUCGCUCAACAUAUUAUUAUAGUUCGCUCACUUUUUUUGACGAAAUUUUAAACGCUACUUUCCACAAGAAAAUUCGCAUCAAUUUCAAACAGCCUUAUCUUCCUCAAACAAAGAAACCCAUCUACUUCCCCUCAAAAAAAAAAAAAAAGAAACCUAUCUACUCAGGUAACUGACAUCGAAUCACAAACUGAAAAACCCUAUCAAUUUUGCCAACAAAUUUCAAUCUCCCAAAUCCUCUCCUAUGAACUGAAAGGAGGAACUAAAUUCACUAAUUGUGAUUAUAUACUAAGAGUCUUCAACGCAGCAAGUCGGCCAAAUUAAUCAAGAAAACCUGAGCAUAGAGGCGAAACUCAAGAAAAACAAGCAAAGAGGCGAAAUUUCGAAUACCAGUCGAACUUCAAAGGUGCAUUCCUUUAUUUCGGAAUUCUGGAAAUUCUUCAAAAUUCACGAAACCCAGUCGAACUCCAAAAUCAAGUCCAUGGUAAUAGGAUAUAAAUAUAGAGUGUAAAUUAUUCAAGAAAAGACAGCAAAGAGUCGAAAUUCAAGAAAACCCAACAAAGAGGGGAAAUUUCGGAUCAUAGUCGAGCUUCAUAAGGUAUGUUCUUCAAUCCAUUGUUAUUGGAGUUUUAUGUUUUAGGAAAAAUUAUUUUAGCUGUGAAAUAAAGUAGGUUUUGUUACCUUGUACUACUAAUUAUUGAUACCUUGCAUGAUAUGAGUUUAUUCCACCCUCCUGCAUUAACAUUUCGG
Molecule: long non-coding RNA, 748 nt
Organism: Beta vulgaris subsp. vulgaris (sugar beet)
Lineage: Eukaryota; Viridiplantae; Streptophyta; Magnoliopsida; Caryophyllales; Amaranthaceae
Exons: 3
Source: RefSeq, a predicted model, not a curated record